RNAcentral lists this ribosomal RNA (838 nucleotides) under Gambierdiscus australes. RNAcentral describes it as "LSU rRNA". It matches the Rfam family "Eukaryotic large subunit ribosomal RNA", at positions 31 to 834 of the family's 3401-position model. The record is from RNAcentral. Lineage: Eukaryota; Dinophyceae; Gonyaulacales; Pyrocystaceae.
AAAUUAAGCAUAUACGUAGGCAGAGGAUGAGAUACACAACUGGAUUGGCACCGUAGUUGCGAAUGAACAGCAAAUUGCUCAAAUUGAAUUUGGGGACACCUGGCCCUCAACAUGAAAUCUCUGAAUGCUCCACCAACAAAGGCUCAGGAACAAAACCAUUCUGGAGGGGAUUGUGAAAGUGCCAACAGGGGUGAGAAUCCUGUGGUUCUUGCAGACCUUGUUCACGGUGUCUGCUUUCCAGAGUCAUGCUCCUUGGAACUGGAGUGCAAAGUGGGUGGUAGCUUCCACACAAAGGCAAACACACCACUGAGACUGACAGUGAAGAAGUACCGUGAGGGAAGUAUGAAAAGGACUUUGGAAAGAGAUUUAAAAGAGCCUGCACUUGCUGGACAACAAGCAUACAGAAUGAUCGUGUGAUUGGACAGAUUGCUGUGUGAAUACAGGUAACAAUCCUGUGCUGCAUGCGGAGAUUCUUUCUUGGUGUGCCAACUAGUGUGAGAGCAGUCAGUAUCUGUGGGCAGUGCUUGGGGUGUGUCUUGUGUCACAUGUGAUUGUAUGUACCUGGUCUGAACAUGUGAAACUGCAUCUACUGGCAAUGAAGAGUUAUGCAUGCAGUUGCUUUCACCAACGGUUCACCUUGUCAACGACAUGGGUGCCUUUCUGUGUGACCCGUCUUGAAACACGGACCAAGGAGUCUAGGCAGUAUGCAAGCUUGGGGGUGACAAACUCUGAGCACAAUGAAGCUGGAGUCCCGGAAAUGGCAGGGGUGUUCAACCAAGCAACAGGACAAGGUUUGAGUCUGAGCACACUUGUUAGGACCCGAAAGAUGGUGAAAUAU